RNAcentral lists this transfer RNA (74 nucleotides) under Candidatus Nanosalinarum sp. J07AB56. It matches the Rfam family "tRNA". Rfam says of the family: Transfer RNA (tRNA) molecules are approximately 80 nucleotides in length. Their secondary structure includes four short double-helical elements and three loops (D, anti-codon, and T loops). The record is from Rfam by way of RNAcentral. Lineage: Archaea; Methanobacteriati; Methanobacteriota; Candidatus Nanohaloarchaea.
GGGCCUGUAGCUCAGUCUGGCAGAGCACCGGCCUUUUAAGCCGGCUGUCGCGGGUUCGAAUCCCGCCGGGCCCG